This 139-nucleotide ribosomal RNA is filed under the name Enterococcus sp. RNAcentral describes it as "partial 23S ribosomal RNA". It matches the Rfam family "Bacterial large subunit ribosomal RNA", at positions 2787 to 2925 of the family's 2925-position model. Lineage: Bacteria; Bacillati; Bacillota; Bacilli; Lactobacillales; Enterococcaceae. The record is from RNAcentral.
GUGAAGCCCACCUCAAGAUGAGAUUUCCCAUUUCUUUAAGAAAGUAAGAUCCCUGAGAGAUGAUCAGGUAGAUAGGUCAGGAGUGGAAGUACAGUGAUGUAUGGAGCGGACUGAUACUAAUCGAUCGAGGACUUAACCA